RNAcentral lists this long non-coding RNA (1411 nucleotides) under Equus caballus (horse). Its description in RNAcentral is "lncRNA (ENSECAG00000044935.1)". Lineage: Eukaryota; Metazoa; Chordata; Mammalia; Perissodactyla; Equidae. The record is from RNAcentral.
UACUAAAACUCUUUUAUACUGUGAGAUUGGAUUUGAUUAUUUAUGAGUACAAAGAGCUUUAUAAUCCUUUUCUUAAACGGUGUGUUUAGCUGACUGUUCAAAUGAUAAUUUUGGCUGUAGGUCAAUAUGUUUUGCUUCAUAAAAUUGGGGAACUUAGAAACGAUACCUCAUAUCUACGGUUUGUUUGGCCUUCUCAUGGUGUGUUAAUUAUCUGUUGUGUAAGUGUGUUGUGUAGAAUCGUGUGAUUGUGUCAUACGUAUAAGCGUAUUUAGCAAUAAAACCAAAGAAAACUGUCCUUUCCUUUUCUUUAGCCGUGUGGGUCUGAGUCUUCAAACCUUUCAACGUCGUGGCUGUUUCUACAGUUAACGUCACAGAGUCAGCGGGAGGGAGUCCUGUUGGAACGAAGCGUCUGACUGUUUUUUCUAAGAAAACAGAUGGAGAGUAAACCCUAGCACACCGACUUGUUGAUUCUGGAACCCGAUGUGAGACGCUGGCCCCAAAUGACCUCGGGGACUUUCAGGGACCCAGGACUCACCCUUGAUUCAGUCCAACAGAACUUCCCAGAGACUGGACCGUGCUGGUGAUCGGUCCCGGGCGAUUCCAGAAUCCUCCUCAUCUGUGAUGCUCGGUGCCCCACGCGUGACAAACUCAUCCUGAUGUGGCCUCGAUUGAACUUCAGCUCAGAUACCAGACUUGUGAGUGUCCACAGAUGUGCUGGGGAGAAGGUUCCAGAAGUGAAGGCCGGCUCCCUCCAUUCCACUUUUGGCCAAAUUCGCUGAACCCACUGGCACCAAAAAUAGUCAUUGUUCUGGGGACAUGGUUUCCUCGAGUCUUUCGAAGUUUGCCCUUCCCUCCCCUUAGCCGGCGCAGGGCCGACCUUGACAUGAAGAAUCUUUCUUGAUUGAUGAGCUCUUUCAGAUGAGAAAGGUCGGAGAAAACAACUGAAGCGGCAUACAGCACCUGAGGAGGCGCAGGUGAACCACGCGGCCCGUUCACACACCUUACGUCUGUGGUCGGCGCUGUGGUGGGAGGGGCCGUGCGGCUGUUCAGUUACAGAUGAGGAAGCUGAGUGGCCAGCGGCCGGCAGUGUGGGGCCCAGAACGCAGGUCUUCUGGGCGUGGACGCGGCUCAGAAUUCGUUAGAUGAGCCUGAGACGGGCCAGGUCCGGAGGCAGCAGCUAAGCAGGGAGCAGCGUUUCUCGGGCCUGGACGAUGAACUGUAAGAGGAGGACACUUCUCCCUCUGCCCACUCAGGUCCACUGAGCUUAACCGAGAGCAAUGUGCCCAAAAGGCGGAAGUUUCGGUUCCUGAAUUCUAUCAGUUACUGAGGAUCAGGGCAAAGACAAGCCUUUCGAGGCGUGAAAUAGGUUAGAGGUUAUCACGAAAAUGGAGUCAGUGUCAGAAAAGUCAAG